UUUGCUCUCAUUUUUUCUAAAGAAUUCCUCAAUUGAAGCUAAUCUUCAUAGACUUGCUUAGGAGUAAGCGUCACCAAAGUAACAUUCUUUCCAAGAUGUUUGAAGGUAUAUUGGUUGGUAUACCCAUCAUGUAUGACUCGGCGGUCAAAUUGCCAUGGCCUCCCUAACAACAAAUGACUAGCAUGCAUCGACACUACAUCACAAACAACCUCAUUGUUG
Molecule: long non-coding RNA, 219 nt
Filed under: Gossypium barbadense (sea-island cotton)
Lineage: Eukaryota; Viridiplantae; Streptophyta; Magnoliopsida; Malvales; Malvaceae
Description: long non-coding RNA (GBAR_LNC016486)
Source: RNAcentral